CUCUAUCGGGGCCGCCGAUUGCACGACAACCGUCGAUACGACGACCGAUACCAGCACACACACCACCAGCGAUACCAUCGAUCAGCGGCUGCCCGUGUACGUAUGAGAUGGGGGAGGGCGGGAGGGGCUGGUUGAGACCGGAGGCACCGGUGAAGAUGAAACCGGCCCAACCACCACUCGAGAUAUAACCCCCCCAUAACGCUUCGCUAUUGUUGUAACACCCAUCAUCCCCCAACCCCCGUGUUGUCGUGUUGCGGACAGCGUGAGUGAUGUGCAGGACGCCCUCCGCACCAACAAAAAAAAAGGAGGGACAGAACAUAAAUCCUUCAGCAACAACACGACGAGCGCGCAUUAAAUAUGGCCGAAGCAAGAACAGCGACCCGGUUUCGCAACAUUCCUCGCACCCAGAGCGCGCACACACGCGCACACCCCCCUGACCGCACAAGCACGUGAUAAUGAAGAGAAACAAGUGACACGAUGUCAAGCGAAUUACAUUACCAGCCAUCCUGAGCCAAUGGUUGCAAAUUCUCCUGGCAUUUGCCAAGUGUUUUUUUUACCACUCCACUGUCCGCUGGUGGCAGCAGCGGCUACCAUUACGCGCUGACGCGGUAAGAGAGUGUGCGUGCGUGUAUGUGUGUGCCUGUUGGGGUUUUUUUUUUGCGUGUUUGUUAUUACUGCCAACUACCGUCUGUUAUGCUUGUUAUCUGUGUAUCCGGCCGACUGACGAGGGGGCCGAACCACGGACCAUUUCUACCCUCUACCGUGGGACUGGUGGUGGUCAUGUUUUAUGCUUAAGUUUUCACGCUUCUCCCGCCCUCCAGUGCACCGGAGGCAAGUGAGAGAGACAGAGACUCCGUGACAAGGGGAACGUGUUUGCUGUAGCUAGGCAGCAGCUAGGAUGAUCUGUUGUUCUUCACCGCUGCCGUUGUUUAGUUUUGUGCGCCGUACCACCGUGCAACGGGAGAAGGAAAGCUGACACCCGGGACGAUGAUUUAUGCUGCGUGCUGCGCGGGAAAGCGGACCACGGCAAGGACAUUGAUGGAGAGCGAUCCCGCCUCACAACAGCAGCAGCAGCACUUGCAAAGAACCGAAGCCGUAACAUACGCGACGCGUCUCAAAUGCUGCAAAAGUGCCGGGAGAAUGCUAACAAGUGUUACGGAAUUAUGGUCGACGGUUCGUCACCCGGGUCACUCCGGCAGCGGCAUUUGCUCAACAACCAACCCUUUCCCAAUAGCUACAUCCACCGGUUCGGCAGUACAGCAGCAAGGUGAAGCCGACGGUAGUGACCGUAAAUGAAUCAAAAGUGAACAAUAUCAACUGGGAUGCUGGGAGAAGGUGGUUGGCGAAACACGGCACAGCAAAUGCUGCUCUGCUGGAAUGUUUUGUUCUGUCCCCGUGUCCUAGCGAUCCUGCUUCCGGAAGAAGAGGGGCAGAACAUAAGCGAAUCCCAGUACCAUCCCGGAAACACAGGCAAGGACACAGCUGCAGUAUUGCGCCGGGAUGGGCCGGGAAAACGAGAAAACUUUCCCAUCAACAAUAAGGCAUUACACUGAAGAGACAAGCGGAAAGCAGCAACAGCAGCAUUAAUGCACUGGCAAGGCAAAAAUUAUGACGACACUCAAUUCAGUUACUGUAACCGCGAGGUAAUGCAGAGCCGAGGCCUUUUUUCCAACCAAUUCGUUCGUUUCACGCAAUACAUUUCAAUUUCCUUCCCCAAACGCCACCAUGAAGAAAUAGAAGUAGAGGGAAAGGCACCCAUCAAUCCGCAGGCUCUAACCAGCGUCGACGGUGAAGGGAAAACAUCGGAUACACCCUUGCUUGUGCAUGGCUGGAACUGGACGGAUAAAUCGACGUUGAGAUAGCGAUUCCUAUUCCCACCAUCCACUGGGGGGGGGGGAGAGGCAACUAGAAAAGGUCAUUCAAUUUCCUACGGAGCAGGUUAGUUGGCGGAGUGAUGUUGUUGUUGAACUUGCCAAAAAAAAAAAAGAAGCAGUUCGAUCUUGUCCAUCUCGGUCUGUUGUAAUGAGUUUUGUCGGACGACACUGGUGAAAGCGUGGUAGAUGUAGAAGAAGAGUGUCGUAGUGUCAUACAUAGGAUGAAAGCUCCCAAAAUACCUUUUUUGUCCAGUGCGAUGAGUGCGUUUUGAAAUGUAGCCAAUCUCGGGUAGAGAGAGCGAAAGAGAUAAAAAUCACUUACCACGCCCCACUAGGUUAGGAGUUGCGUCUGUACCUGCAGCUCGGAGCCACCACCACAAACGGCAACGCCACACGCGUCUACACUGCGCGCUCCAUAGAAUCCAUGCGAUUCUUGGUAAUUUCCAAAGCAACGUGUGGGCGCUUUGGCGGCAAAAAAAAAGCGCACGGAACAACGAUGCAGCAUAGUCAUUUCCCUACCACGCUCGCUAUAAAUAGCGGUAGCUCCAGAAUGCAGCCCUGGAUAUGUCGACCCACAUGGAAGGACGACGCUGCAGUCCCAGCCAGCACCGAACCCAAUCGCGCACCGAUAGAGAGAUGACGACGAUGAUGAUGAUGAUGGUGAUGAUGUGGAGAAGAUGAAACCCCAACAGGAAGCACACAGUGCCCAAGACUAGGGGAGAGAAGGAAUAAAAAACAAAAAUAACACUAACAUGCACCCAACACACACUAUCGUCCUCGAAAACGGGACAGUAUUGAUUGCGAACCGUUCUGAUAGAGAGAGAAUGAACAACGCAUGAACAAAAAAAAACAGAAAGCAUCACCCUCUGGUGUCAUACGCACGUGCACGAGGGGUUUCGCAAUUACUUUUCGCACUUUUUGUUCGAUUUACCACUUUUGCUUGUCGGUGGAUGGCAAAGUUUUGAUUUCAUUUCGGGCCAGUUCGAGCGGAAGGCAUGAACCUCGCUUAUGGCAAACAUUCAUCAAUGUUGCUUUCUUUUUCGUCUGCUUGCUUGCUCUCGUUUCCGCUGCGCACCUGUUGUUUAUCAAAACAGCUUGUAACGUUGCGUUUAGAUUUUCGGUCUAUUCAGACCAGCAAGGCUUGUCAAUUAUUUCGAGGAAACAACAUUUUACCUACAGGAAACGAACAACCUGCAACACAACUGUUUGUACGACGGCGCACUUUAUAGUGCGGCGUAAAGUGCUGAAAUUACGCCACCUAUCUAAAAGAUAAGUGCUCAAUGUCUAGAAGUGAGCAUUCUGGAUGAAGGAAGGAAAGCAAACACAAAACAGCCAAAAAUGCUCUACUCAUAAAAAAAUCAAAAACAAUGCCACUGACACUGAACUUUUAGUGUGAUUGUUAAUAGAAUAAUGAAUGUACAUGACACAGAACAGAACAAAAAACAUUAAAGAAAAGAAGAAAUAAGAUUAAAAGACUACAUAGAAGGAGAAUGUACAUGACACAGAACAAAACAGAACAAAAAACAUUAAAAAGAAGAAAUAAGAUUAAAAGACUACAUAGAAGAAAGAUACGCGACAUCGCACACGUUACAAUAUACAAACAAUGGUUCAAUGUGUUUAGGAAAAAUCUAUUUAGAAACGCAUCUAAGAUGUUAAUAAGAAACGUAAAAAUAAAAUGAAAACAAAACAAAACAAAACAGACGAGAAAGAUAAAGUGUGGUAAGGUAAAAUAAUCGAUAGAACAAUAUACUUAAAAAAAGAAAAACAAAGCUGUACGAAAAAUAUAACUAAAUGAGGUAAACGUUACACAAUACAAGCAAGCAUUCCCUUAGGGAGAAAAGAAAAGCAAGAAAAGAAACGGAAAACAACUGAAAAACAUCUAGAACAAUGCAGCAGCGAAAAGCAGAAGAAUGUGUUUACUACUAGUGCUAAAUAGCUAAAUGGUGAGUGUUAAAACUUCAACUGUAUAACAGUUUCAAUUACAAGCAUCUAUUCACAUCUAUCGUUCCGUUUUGAGCAUCGUGUCGGUAUAUAUAUAUGUAUGAUGAUCAUUUAAAUGCAUACACAAACACAUACAUAUACACGUAAAGCUACACAACACACACACGCUCGUACUGACAAGAAAAAGAAAGAGAGAGAGAGACGAAAGAGUGAAUGGAACGAGAGUAUAACAGAAUGGCGUUUUAGUACACUCAUUUCAAAUGAUCAAUUUACACCUAUUUUUCAGUUUAAAUUGUAAUUUAUAGUUUUGUACACAUCAAGCGGUUGUUGUUAUUGUAUUUGUUUGUUUUUUUAACUACAUUUUAACUACAAUUACGAUUUAUGUUUUCCAAUUGGAAGCAUAUCAUUCCUGUUUCUUUCCAAAACACACACCUGCCUUGGAUGUACUAAUAACUGGAAAGAACAACCGCCAAACGUGGUUUUGUUUCAAAUUUUCCAUCACUUUCCCCCACCACGCCUCACCGAUCUCGGUUUAUUUCUUGCAACCACAACCUCUCCUUCUCCCCUUGCAGCCCCCAAAGGGGAAAAAGCGGGUGCACGAGGCAGUGGCAAGUACCUCCCCUCCAACAUCAACAUCGAACAGCAACAUGUUUGGAAGCAACCGCGUACCACUACUGCUGUCACCAUGUGCAUGCUGAGCCCAUUGUAUGGCAUGGCAAGGACGAAAGUCGGAGCCAACGGAAUUUUUUCGAACCAUUUUCCCUCCCUGCUUCAUGCCGUGGGCUUGCUUCUCCCUUUUCUUCUCCCCUUACCGGCGCGUUCCAGUGUGUUUGCGCUCACGAGAAGCUGCAGUAUAAUUACUGAGUUCCGAUGAAAAUACCUGCGUUUUGGCAACUAUUUAUCCCCGUUCCGACUCGUUGGCGGAAUGGCGUGUACAUCAAUUUUAUCAACCCUCGCAACACAACAAUCCAGCUUUGGAGGUUUGUUGCUCUUUGCCACCCUCUCGCCCCUCAGCUUAAUUGAAGGGGAAAGGGUUUGUGCUUCUAACGAACGCAUUUAGAAGUUGUGUCGCAACUUGUGCAGCAUAAGCAACGACACACAUAAAGCACAAAGCUUCCCGGCAUGCAGGUUUUCGGUUGCUUGCUUCAAAGUUUCCGAAAUUCCAACAGUUUCUGCAAGACAUACAUACAUUAGCAAAAAAAUAAAAAAUACGCAUGUGAAAGAAAGGUAAAGGGGAAGAAAAGGGACCUCUGGUGUACAGCAGCGAUCGCAUCGGUCCGGAGCCUAAACAGGGCCGAACGCCAACCAAACAUCACCGCCACAGUGCCCGCCCUAUCGUUGAGGAGUCGUGUGGGGCGAAGCGGGAAAGUCAUAUGAAAAUUUGGGCAAACAAACAAAGCGCUUCCACACAGUGUGAACACAGCGUUGGAAACGGGUUUGAAGCUUGCCGAUUGGAAGACAAUGUCUUCUGUUGCUGUUGGAGCAAUGUGCUUGUCUUUAAUGUUGUAGGCAGUUAUUUAUUUUGUGUGCCAUGUGUAUCAACCUAAGUUAUAUCGCUUGUGAAAAGAAAAAUAUAAUGAAAAGGCAUAGAAAAGAGAACAUCUGCUGGAAAGAAUAAAAGUGUAGUAAAAAGAAAAGACAGCCCGAACGAGAAAAUCAUACCAAACAACAAGAAGCAAAGGUGCUUGAGAUAAACAAACAAACAAACAAACAAAAUAAGACAGCAAACACAAAGAAAAAAAACGCAAACAAAAUGUACACAAAACAUAAACAAACACACAUAUUCACCUUAGUAAGUAAGGCUGCAAAACAUACAAAACAAUAGAGCUGUAUUAACUGUGGCUGCUGCCAGCUAUACUAGUGACAAUGGUAUGUGUUUUUUGUUCCGUUGUUACUUCUCUAAUACUAACAGUACUUGGGCGGGUCAAAUCCGUUUGAAUAUUUGUGAAUAUAUGUGAAGGGGGCAGACAGUGUUGAACUUUUAAGAACAAUACGUUUUUGAUUUUUUAUAUAAUACAUAACUCAUCAACAACAACAACAGAGAGAGAAAAACAACAUAAAUGUUUAGCAAAUGAAGAGGAGAAAAUGAAACAGACAAUUAACUGUUAUACAAUCAGAAUAAUCUUUACACCCUUCACCCUUGUUGCUAUCAGUGUGGAAGGAGGAAAAUAAAAUAAAUCGACAUUAUUUUUUAAGACUAUCACAAAUUCAAAUCACACUUUUCCCGAUUCAAUCUCCAUUUUAUCGCUAUCAUCGCUAACCUGCUAGCAUACGGCUGGCGUACUGUUUUGCUAAAAAACGCGGAAAACUCCACCAAACGGUGACGAUGAAGAGAGUAACCCUGCCACUUUUACCACGAAAAAAAAACGCACAUUCUUAGCUGCAUGUGCUAGUUUCUUCACAUAAGAUAAAAGCCGAAAGAAGAAAACUGAAAACUAAUAAACAGAUAAUAUAAACACUUAAAUAAACACAAACCGAAAACAUACAAGAAGUAAAUCCCGAAAACCCCGAAACGGAUGUUAGCAGUUAAACGUACAUAACCCAUACACGUCUGUCCCACUGUCGUCACUCUUUUACUCUGUAUUGGACGUAUAAAAAGAGAAGCAAAAGAAACAUAGAUUUUGUGGAUCACUGUUACCGCUAAAGCAAACAAAGUGAAACAAACAAACAAACACGACAACAAAACAGCAGAGCAGCAGAACAUAAAACCUAAAUGAUA
Anopheles merus is the source of this 6534-nucleotide RNA transcript. RefSeq lists it as uncharacterized. NCBI's taxonomy places the organism in Eukaryota, Metazoa, Arthropoda, Insecta, Diptera, Culicidae. The record is from RefSeq and is a predicted model, not a curated record. The transcript is spliced from 3 exons.